AGAUCUGUGCUUUUAGAGAAAGAAGCAUAUAUGAUGCACAUUUUCCACUUAUUCUGUGUAUGCUGUGAUUUAAAUGAUAACCUCUCCCUAGCGCUCGCGCCCUGUUCGACGAAAUGCCAAAUGUGUGCUUUUAGAGAAAGAAGCAUAUAUGACGCACAUUUUUCAUUUAUUCUGUGUAUGUUGGGACUUAAAUGAUACCCUCUCCCUAGCGCUCGCACCCUGUUCGACGAAAUGCCAAGGUGAUAGCAGGACGCUUCAUGUGAGCAAUGCUAUAUUUGUAAUUUAUUUUGGAUUGUAGAUCUUACUGGUAGUUAUGUUAAUUUAAAUUUUUAAAAUCUGUUAGUCAGGGAUCACAAUUCUUGAAUCUUCCUACAACCUAGACAACGGCAGAAUCAGGUUAUAAUAAAAUCAAAACAAAGUCAUACAAAAUUAGAAUGCCAAAAAUCUACAUUAAAGUUUGCCAAGUUGCUUAAGGUAAAGUUUUAUCCUGCUCUAUUAAAAGAGAUGUUGGUGUUUCUUUUUUUUUAAUGCUUCAAUUCCUCCGUUAGAACCUCUUCUAUGAUGACUUUUCCUUUAAAUAUCAAACUUGGAUAAUUCAUAGUGUUAUAGUUUCUGUUUUUUUUACUUUUAUUUGGGUACUCCGGCUAAUGCUUCACCAAAACCGAAACAUGGAUAUGAUAAUAAUUAGUUUGAUGAGAGGAUACGAUAGUAUUUAAUCUUAUAUUUUGGUGACCCUAUGAGCAGUUCAGUCCCCUCUAAAGUGAAGUGGUUCUUAUACCCUACAAUUACAUCUUUUAAGCUUAAUUUGUAUUGAGCUAUGCUAAUAUUACAAUAUAAUGCUUUCUAACAGAUAUGUACUAAACUAUGUAGUUUUGUGUAACUAAUUAAUAUCAGUUAGACGAUUUUUUGUGCUUCCAUAAACAGUUCCUGUUUUAGACAGUGCGACAUGGCACCUUCUUGAUGAAAACGAACAACUUCUUAUCCAGAUCACAUCAAAUCUUGAAUUGUUCAAGAUACAGGAGAAUAUGGAUCCUUUUCUUCGCACAAGUAACAACAUCGCAACAAUUUUGAAUAGGUAUGUGCUACCAGUCAUAUCUUCCCAAUCUGUUAGUUGGCAAAAUAUUUGUGCCUGGAAAUGUGCGCGCAAGGGCGAGUAGUGAUUUGAUGAAUAUGGCAACUGUGUAAUGCAGAAUGAGUCAGACUCCUGGGAUUAUGUGUUGGAUGCCUCCUUUGCCCAUUUCACUUAAUGAGGAACAUCUAAAUUCACUUAUCCAAUUUAGCAGAAGGUUAUUUCUAUGGACAAUUUUGCCACGGCAAGCUCUGCUGCGAAGCUUGGCCUUUUUGCCCCAGCAAUGGGCAUCCUUCUCCUUCAAAUCGCUCAAUUCCAUCGAAUGACUCUCAAAUCCCCAAUUUUCACUAAAAUUAAACCUAAUUUGCGUCAAUAUUUUAGGUUUAAUUUUGUUUGAUAAUUUAGUGCUCAGUUUAGGAUGGUGAGGUCUCUUUCGUGUAAUUUUGUCUUCCUAUUUGACGCAACCCUCGCCACGUAUGACAGUCCACUUUAUAAAAUACAUCGUCAUUUGCAGCACACCUAGGCCAACUUUGCGGCAACGAUCUUUUAUUACAAAGUAUGAGACAUAAUGGUUCAAAUUACCUAAUCUUUGCUUUGGUCAACUGUUAAAGCUUCUACAAAUUCAAGUUUUUUGCAGGAAUCUCAUUGCGCUUGCUAUACUCUAUUUUUGCAAGCAUGGAAGCAUUAAUUUUUGCUCAGCUUAGUGUCAAAACAGCCUUAUUGGCUUUUGCUAUGUAUCCCAUAUAGAAAAAUAUAGCUUCUCAUAAAGUUUUUAUAGUCCUAAUUUAUUUUACCAUCUAAUAUAAUUUGCUGUUGUCUUCAA
This is a long non-coding RNA of Ananas comosus (pineapple), 1892 nucleotides long. RefSeq lists it as uncharacterized. Lineage: Eukaryota; Viridiplantae; Streptophyta; Magnoliopsida; Poales; Bromeliaceae. The record is from RefSeq and is a predicted model, not a curated record. The transcript has 3 exons.